This 892-nucleotide ribosomal RNA is filed under the name uncultured bacterium. RNAcentral describes it as "bacterial SSU rRNA". It matches the Rfam family "Bacterial small subunit ribosomal RNA", at positions 505 to 1397 of the family's 1533-position model. The record is from RNAcentral.
GUGCCAGCAGCCGCGGUAAUACGGAGGAUGCGAGCGUUAUCCGGAUUUAUUGGGUUUAAAGGGUGCGCAGGCGGCAGGUCAAGUCAGCGGUCAAACUUCGGCGCUCAACGCCGUAUCGCCGUUGAAACUGGCCGGCUCGAGUGCGUGGGAGGAUGGCGGAAUGCGCGGUGUAGCGGUGAAAUGCAUAGAUAUCGCGCAGAACUCCGAUUGCGAAGGCAGCUGUCCAUCACGCCACUGACGCUCAUGCACGAAAGCGUGGGUAUCGAACAGGAUUAGAUACCCUGGUAGUCCACGCGGUAAACGAUGAUAACUAGUUAUCCGGGGCGAUUGGGCCUUGGGUGACCGAGCGAAAGCGUUAAGUUAUCCACCUGGGGAGUACGCCGGCAACGGUGAAACUCAAAGGAAUUGACGGGGGCCCGCACAAGCGGAGGAACAUGUGGUUUAAUUCGAUGAUACGCGAGGAACCUUACCCGGGCUCAAACGCAAGGCGACAGACCCUGAAAGGGGUUUUUCUUCGGACGUCUUGCGAGGUGCUGCAUGGUUGUCGUCAGCUCGUGCCGUGAGGUGUCGGCUUAAGUGCCAUAACGAGCGCAACCCCCAUCUUCAGUUGCCAUCGGGUGAAGCCGGGCACUCUGGAGAGACUGCCGGCGCAAGCUGUGAGGAAGGCGGGGAUGACGUCAAAUCAGCACGGCCUUUACGUCCGGGGCGACACACGUGUUACAAUGGCGGGGCUACAGCGGGGAGCCAGGCGGCGACGCCGAGCUGAUCCCGAAAACCCGUCUCAGUUCGGAUCGGAGUCUGCAACCCGACUCCGUGAAGCUGGAUUCGCUAGUAAUCGCGCAUCAGCCAUGGCGCGGUGAAUACGUUCCCGGGCCUUGUACACACCGCCCGU